Molecule: non-coding RNA, 69 nt
Organism: Podarcis lilfordi (Lilford's wall lizard)
Lineage: Eukaryota; Metazoa; Chordata; Lepidosauria; Squamata; Lacertidae
Source: the annotation of a GenBank genome assembly
GUUGUACUUCAGUUUCAGAACAUUUGCUUUGCACGCAAAAGGUCCCAGGUUCAGUCCCUGGCAUCUCCA